UUCCCCAGCCCUUUCUUAAGAGGCAUUUUAAGUAUUGGCCAAGACCUCAUUAUCUCCCAUUAGCACUUUUUCUGGAUUUGAAUUCAAAUGUCAUUAAUGUUUCUGUCAAAGCUUCCUUGAAUAUCUUCACUUGUUUUGGGCUGUAAUUCACUUAACCUUGUUCAAUGCUGUUCAGUCCCAAAGGUGUUAAUUGAGGUGAGAUGUCUGCUAUGUCUACCCUGUUGCACUCAGUUGAAUAGAAAUAUUUGGGUUUAGAGCAUCUCAGAUUGUUUGGUGGAAAAGUUUAGCAGAGCCUCAUGAGGAAAAGGGAGUGAGGAAGUGGGUAGAAUGUCCUCUGGGAAUUUGGUGCUCCCUUUAAACCAGGUGUAUGAACAUGACUUUCCUGAAGUGGAAACAUUUGUCCCACUUUCACCCAAUACUGUUAUGUAUGACAAGUAAAAAGAAUGUUCUGGCACUUGGCAUCACCUAUGCCAAGAUGAUGAGACAACGUGAAGUGAUUUCCUCUAAUGUCAGUGUAUUAGUCUCAGUUUACAAAUUAUUUAAUAAAAUUAACUACUGAAAAGCCAUGAUUUUUUUUUUUUCUUUUGGAGACAGGAUUUCUCUAUGUAGCCCUGUCCGUCUUAGAACUCUCUCUGUAGACCAGGCUGGCCUUGAUCUCAUGGAGAUCCACCUGCCUCUGCCUCCAGUGCUGGGAUUAAAGGUGCACUACCACUUCCCGGCCAUGAAUCAUUUAAAGUGGGUUUUAGAACAAUGGUCAUUUGAUGUGUGUCUGCAUUUCCCUUCCAGGACAUAGGGUGUGAAGCUUUGCUGCCAGAAACUGGAUGGACUGUGUGUGUGUCUGGAUCUAGACUUUGCAGAAUUUGCAAAGAGCCGUGGCACUUAAGAAGCUGGUCAACAGGUAGUCUGUGUUUCCAUCUCCUCCCCUCACUUUCUUUUCCACUCUCCUCUCCCUGAGCCAUCGCCUACAUCAGCUCUCCUUGGGGACUCCUCCAGAAAGAAAACGUGGAGCAGACAGGGAGCAGUCGGAGAUGGGCAUGUUAACGCCUAGUAGAUAAGUCUGGUUUUUUUCUGUGCCUGCUUCCCAAUCUCUGCGGGAAAGGCACAAGUGUUUGCCAUUCUUUUUUCUUCUUUUGUUUUUUUGCUUUGUUUUUCAAUCUCACGUGUUUCUUCCCUGGCUUUGUACUAAUGAUAUAGCAGAUACUUCAACAGUUGUUGAACGAGUGACACAAUACCCAGAAGACGGAAUUGCGUAUUCCACCUGCUGAGGUUUUGAUUUUUGUGCAUGGAAGUGCUCUACCACCAGCUGUACCUCCAGUCCUGAGUUUUUUAAAGAAAUGCUGGCAGAAGCAGGGCAUGGGGGCUCACACCUAUAAUCUCAGUACUUGGAUGAGCAUAAGUCUAAGGCCAGCCGAGGUUACAGUGUGAUUGAUACACUCUCAAAAACCCCAAAACGGGCUGUGCAGUGGUGGCACACACCUUUAAUCCCAGCACUUGGAAGGCAGAGAUAGGUGGAUCUCUGAGUUUGAGGCCAGCCUAGGCUACAGACUGAGUUCCAGGACAGGCUUCAUAGCUACCAAGAAACCCUGUCUGAAAAAAUAAAAAAAUAAAAUAAAACCAAAGUGGGGCCCAAUAUGGUGCUAUAUGCUUUUAAUCUCAACAAUAGAGAGAGCAGAGACAGGUGGGUCUCAGAGUUUUAGCCCAGACUAGUCUACAUAAUUCCAGGGAAUUAGGUUAUAUGGUGAGACAUUGCAGGGCAAGGGAGUUGGUACAGAUAGCUCACUGGUAGACUGCCUGCCUAGUAUGCACAGAGCCUUAGGUUUAUUCCUCAGCAUUCAGGAGAUACAGGAGCAUCAGAAGUUCAGGGUUAGCUACAUAGUGAGUUGGAGGCCAGCCAACUACAUGAAACUGUCUUUUUAAAAAAAUAGCUGGGGACGGGGCUGGAGAGAUGGCUCAGAGGUUAAGAUCAGAAGUUAAGAGGACAGCUCUUCCAGGGAUCCUGAGUUCAAUUCCCAGCAACCACAUGGUGGCUCUCAACCAUCUGUAAUGAGAUCUGGUGCCCUCUUCUGGCAUACAGGUAUACAUGAGGGUAAAACACUGUAUACAUAAUAAAUAAAAUUAAAAAAAAAAAAUAGCUGGGUGGUGCCGCACACCUUUAAUCCCAGCACUCAGAAGGCAGAGGCAGGCAGAACUACACAGAAACCCUGUCUUGAAAACACAAAACCAAAAAGGUACUGGUUAGGAACAAUGAACUGGGACCCAGUUCUAAAUGAUGUAGGUGAGACAACUUGCUGUUUCCUUUUGUGUGCACUGUAACAGCUGUCAGCUCUGCCUCUUGAUGGUAUGAUUCAGGAACAGCACUUACACACUAGAUUCCACGUCAGUUCUGGCUAACCUUUCAAGAACUUUGCAGUCUUCUGACAGUGGCAGAGGUUCUGGUCACAAAGGAACCACAUGAGUAAGGAUGUGUCUCUACUCCUCUCCCCCACUUAAUCCCCACCCUAACCCUGGAACAGAUGGCGGGAUUCACAUACUCACUGUAUGUGGCAGAUGACAUUGAGCCAACGGAGAAACCUGUAUGCUACCCUAAGGAUGCAGGGUGCUAUGGAGCAGGAGUUAGCACAGUCCAACAGACAGCUGCUGGUGGUGAGUUCUAGGAGGGCUUCCUGAAGUCUUCCUCCUUCCCUGCUGUGUCCCUGCCAGCUGGCAUAUCAAACUCUCUGUCAUGACUUAACUAUAUUGUUUGCCUCUGAGAUUUUUCAUGAUUGUUAUCAGAACAUUAACAUCAAAUGUCAAAGCUCUUUUUCAGUCAGUGAGGUUUUUUCAAUUUUUUUCAUUGUUUGCAGGUGGCACUCCUUGUUUAGUUUUGGGCUUAGUGAAGCUUUGUUUUCUUGGGUUCUUUGGGUUGGGAUGGGUUGGAUUUUGUUUGGAACAGUCUCACUAUGUACCCCUAGCUGACCUGGAACUUGCUAUGUAGACCAGGCUGGCCUCCUGCCUCUGCACCCCUGCAUGCUAGGUUAAAGUGCACCACCACACCCAGUCAGGGGAUUUAUUUUACGUAUUUAUUUUUGAGACAAGGUCUUCCUCUGCAUCCCAGGAUGGCCUGGAACUUGCAGACAUCCUGUCUUAGCCUCCCAUAUGCUGAAAUUAUAAGCAUGUCCCAUCACCCAGCUGCAGGUGACACAUUUCCAAUUCUCAAUGCAUGACUUUGCUCUUUUCAUCCAGGUGAGACCCUAAGCCGCUCUUCUCCACUUGAGGUGCCAAAUGCCAUGUCACCUCUUAGUAUCUUGAGUACCUGGCAGAUUUCGUAGUUCAUGGUACAUUCUCAGCAAAAUAUUUGUUGAAUAAUGAGUCUUCACCCAAGGGUGGGGAAAUUAAAUAGGCUUUCCUCCACUGAUUUACUCUCUUCUACCACCUCUUCUUACAUCCCUGCUAAGGCCAGGUCCAAGGGAACACAGGGAUGGGGAGGCAUCCAGAGACCGAGGAGCAGCAUUAAAGAGCCAGCACCACACUUCACUGCCUUCCCUACCAGGUCCGUCAAGCUGCCUUACACGAGCUGUUUGAAAAGGAACAUCAACAGUACCAGCAGGAACUCAGUCGGAUGGGCAAAGCUUUUUAUGAGGAGAGACUCUGAGGCUGCCCAAACACUGCUCUUCCCUCAUGCCUGCCAACCCAGCCUCUAGUCUCUCCCUGGAGCUUCCCAAAACAAACCUGGACCUGGGACUUAAGACCACCUCUUUCUCACUGUCAAGUCAACCCAAAUGUCGCCUCGGAAAACAAGAGUGACGCCUUGUGGUUAGCGUGGGAUAUGCAGUAUCCUAAGGGGAGAGGAUGUACAGUGUCUGGUUUAAAAAAGUUGUGAUUUGGUUUAACAAAUAAAGCGAACUCUUAAAAAUUUA
This is an RNA transcript of Peromyscus californicus insignis, 3896 nucleotides long. It is a transcript of the gene named cilia and flagella associated protein 141, with no coding region annotated. The record is from RefSeq and is a predicted model, not a curated record. NCBI's taxonomy places the organism in Eukaryota, Metazoa, Chordata, Mammalia, Rodentia, Cricetidae. The transcript is spliced from 2 exons.